Transfer RNA from Penicillium solitum, 94 nucleotides. It matches the Rfam family "tRNA". From Rfam's summary of the family: Transfer RNA (tRNA) molecules are approximately 80 nucleotides in length. Their secondary structure includes four short double-helical elements and three loops (D, anti-codon, and T loops). The record is from Rfam. Lineage: Eukaryota; Fungi; Ascomycota; Eurotiomycetes; Eurotiales; Aspergillaceae.
GGGCGGCUGGCCUAAUGGUAAGGCGUCUGAUUUCGGUUGAGUUUUCCUCAAAUACUUCCUCAGAAGACUGCAGGUUCGAUCCCUGCGUCGCUCA